UGUAGUUGUGACGGCGUGCCUUUUGAAGAAUGAGCCUGCGAGUUAGUGUUACGUCGCGAGGUUAACCCGUGUGGGGAAGCCGUAGCGAAAGCGAGUCUGAAUAGGGCGUUGCAGUGGCGUGAUCUAGACCCGAAGCGAAGUGAUCUACCCAUGGCCAGGUUGAAGCGACGGUAAGACGUCGUGGAGGACCGAACCCACUUCAGUUGAAAAUGGAGGGGAUGAGCUGUGGGUAGGGGUGAAAGGCCAAUCAAACUUCGUGAUAGCUGGUUCUCCCCGAAAUGCAUUUAGGUGCAGCGUUGCGUGUUUCUUACCGGAGGUAGAGCUACUGGAUGGCUAAUGGGCCCUACAAGGUUACUGACGUCAGCCAAACUCCGAAUGCCGGUAAGUGAGAGCGCAGCAGUGAGACUGUGGGGGAUAAGCUUCAUAGUCGAGAGGGAAACAGCCCAGACCACCAACUAAGGCCCCUAAGCGUGUGCUAAGUGGGAAAGGAUGUGGAGUUGCGAAGACAACCAGGAGGUUGGCUUAGAAGCAGCCAUCCUUAAAAGAGUGCGUAAUAGCUCACUGGUCAAGUGAUUCCGCGCCGACAAUGUAGCGGGGCUCAAGUACACCGCCGAAGUUGUGGAUUUCAGACAAUAGCCAAGCCCUUGUGGUUCAGGCGUCUGGAGUGGUAGGGGAGCGUCGUGUGGGCAGUGAAGUCGCGGUGUAAACCAGCGGUGGAGCCUACACGAGUGAGAAUGCAGGCAUGAGUAGCGAAAGACGGGUGAGAAACCCGUCCGCCGAAUGAUCAAGGGUUCCAGGGUCAAGCUAAUCUGCCCUGGGUAAGUCGGGACCUAAGGCGAGGCCGACAGGCGUAGUCGAUGGACAACGGGUUGAUAUUCCCGUACCGGCGAAAAACCGCCCAUGCUGAACAGGGGAUACUAACCGCCCGAAACCUGCCCUAGCACCCUUCGGGGUGUGUGGGUUUUGGUGGAGCGCGGGACCUGAUCCUGGGAGGCAAGCGUAUUAACAGGUGUGACGCAGGAAGGUAGCCAAGCCGGGCGAUGGUUGUCCCGGUCUAAGGAUGUAGGGCGAACGGUAGGCAAAUCCGCCGUUCAUGAUGCCUGAGACCCGAUGGGACCCCCGUAUGGGGGGAUUUGGUGAUCCUAUGCUGCCGAGAAAAGCAUCGACGCGAGGUUUUAGCCGCCCGUACCCCAAACCGACACAGGUGAUCAGGUAGAGAAUACUAAGGCGAUCGAGAGAAUUAUGGUUAAGGAACUCGGCAAAAUGCCCCCGUAACUUCGGGAGAAGGGGGGCCCCAACCUUGAUGGACACACGCUGUCCGGAGGGGAUCGGGGCCGCAGAGACCAGGGGGAAGCGACUGUUUACUAAAAACACAGGUCCGUGCGAAGUCGCAAGACGAUGUAUACGGACUGACUCCUGCCCGGUGCUGGAAGGUUAAGAGGACCGGUUAGCCGCAAGGCGAAGCUGAGAAUUUAAGCCCCAGUAAACGGCGGUGGUAACUAUAACCAUCCUAAGGUAGCGAAAUUCCUUGUCGGGUAAGUUCCGACCUGCACGAAUGGAGUAACGACUUCCCCGCUGUCUCAACCAUAAACUCGGCGAAAUUGCAGUACGAGUAAAGAUGCUCGUUACGCGCAGCAGGACGGAAAGACCCCGAGACCUUUACUAUAGUUUGGUAUUGGUGUUCGGAGUGGCUUGUGUAGGAUAGGUGGGAGACGUUGAAGCCCGGACGCCAGUUCGGGUGGAGUCAUCGUUGAAAUACCACUCUGGUCACUUUGGACAUCUAACUUCGGCCCGUAAUCCGGGUCAGGGACAGUGCCUGAUGGGUAGUUUAACUGGGGCGGUUGCCUCCUAAAAAGUAACGGAGGCGCCCAAAGGUUCCCUCAGCCUGGUUGGCAAUCAGGUGUCGAGUGUAAGUGCACAAGGGAGCUUGACUGUGAGAGAGACAUCUCGAGCAGGGACGAAAGUCGGGACUAGUGAUCCGGCGGUACAUUGUGGAAUGGCCGUCGCUCAACGGAUAAAAGGUACCUCGGGGAUAACAGGCUGAUCUUGCCCAAGAGUCCAUAUCGACGGCAUGGUUUGGCACCUCGAUGUCGGCUCGUCGCAUCCUGGGGCUGGAGUAGGUCCCAAGGGUUGGGCUGUUCGCCCAUUAAAGCGGUACGCGAGCUGGGUUUAGAACGUCGUGAGACAGUUCGGUCCCUAUCCGCUGCGCGCGCAGGAAAUUUGAGAAGGGCUGUCCUUAGUACGAGAGGACCGGGACGGACGAACCUCUGGUGUGUCAGUUGUACUGCCAAGUGCACCGCUGAUUAGCUACGUUCGGAUGGGAUAACCGCUGAAAGCAUCUAAGCGGGAAGCUCGCUUCGAGAUGAGAUUUCCAUACACCUUGUGUGUGAGAGGCCCCCAGCCAGACCACUGGGUUGAUAGGCCGGAUGUGGAAGCGAGGACUAACGACUCGUGAAGCUGACCGGUACUAAUAGGCCGAUAACUUACACCACACACCCUC
RNAcentral lists this ribosomal RNA (2500 nucleotides) under Arthrobacter oryzae. RNAcentral describes it as "bacterial LSU rRNA". It matches the Rfam family "Bacterial large subunit ribosomal RNA", at positions 586 to 2925 of the family's 2925-position model. Lineage: Bacteria; Bacillati; Actinomycetota; Actinomycetes; Micrococcales; Micrococcaceae. The record is from RNAcentral.